This 492-nucleotide ribosomal RNA is filed under the name uncultured bacterium. RNAcentral's name for it is "partial 16S ribosomal RNA". It matches the Rfam family "Bacterial small subunit ribosomal RNA", at positions 29 to 507 of the family's 1533-position model. The record is from RNAcentral.
AGUGAACGCUGGCGGUAGGCCUAACACAUGCAAGUCGAACGGCAGCACAGUAAGAGCUUGCUCUUACGGGUGGCGAGUGGCGGACGGGUGAGGAAUACAUCGGAAUCUACUUUUUCGUGGGGGAUAACGUAGGGAAACUUACGCUAAUACCGCAUACGACCUACGGGUGAAAGCAGGGGAUCUUCGGACCUUGCGCGAUUGAAUGAGCCGAUGUCGGAUUAGCUAGUUGGCGGGGUAAAGGCCCACCAAGGCGACGAUCCGUAGCUGGUCUGAGAGGAUGAUCAGCCACACUGGAACUGAGACACGGUCCAGACUCCAACGGGAGGCAGCAGUGGGGAAUAUUGGACAAUGGGCGCAAGCCUGAUCCAGCCAUACCGCGUGGGUGAAGAAGGCCUUCGGGUUUUAAAGCCCUUUUGUUGGGAAAGAAAAGCAGCAGGCUAAUACCCCGCUGUUCUGACGGUACCCAAAGAAUAAGCACCGGCUAACUUCGUG